Molecule: ribosomal RNA, 1346 nt
Filed under: uncultured bacterium
Lineage: Bacteria
Description: partial 16S ribosomal RNA
Rfam family: Bacterial small subunit ribosomal RNA
Source: RNAcentral
GACGAACGCUGGCGGCGUGCUUAACACAUGCAAGUCGAACGGAAAGGCCCUGCUUUUGUGGGGUGCUCGAGUGGCGAACGGGUGAGUAACACGUGAGUAACCUGCCCUUGACUUUGGGAUAACUUCAGGAAACUGGGGCUAAUACCGGAUAGGAGCUCCUGCUGCAUGGUGGGGGUUGGAAAGUUUCGGCGGUUGGGGAUGGACUCGCGGCUUAUCAGCUUGUUGGUGGGGUAGUGGCUUACCAAGGCUUUGACGGGUAGCCGGCCUGAGAGGGUGACCGGCCACAUUGGGACUGAGAUACGGCCCAGACUCCUACGGGAGGCAGCAGUGGGGAAUAUUGCACAAUGGGCGGAAGCCUGAUGCAGCAACGCCGCGUGCGGGAUGACGGCCUUCGGGUUGUAAACCGCUUUCGCCUGUGACGAAGCGUGAGUGACGGUAAUGGGUAAAGAAGCACCGGCUAACUACGUGCCAGCAGCCGCGGUGAUACGUAGGGUGCGAGCGUUGUCCGGAUUUAUUGGGCGUAAAGGGCUCGUAGGUGGUUGAUCGCGUCGGAAGUGUAAUCUUGGGGCUUAACCCUGAGCGUGCAUUCGAUACGGGUUGACUUGAGGAAGGUAGGGGAGAAUGGAAUUCCUGGUGGAGCGGUGGAAUGCGCAGAUAUCAGGAGGAACACCAGUGGCGAAGGCGGUUCUCUGGGCCUUUCCUGACGCUGAGGAGCGAAAGCGUGGGGAGCGAACAGGCUUAGAUACCCUGGUAGUCCACGCUGUAAACGGUGGGUACUAGGUGUGGGGUCCAUUCCACGGGUUCCGUGCCGUAGCUAACGCUUUAAGUACCCCGCCUGGGGAGUACGGCCGCAAGGCUAAAACUCAAAGGAAUUGACGGGGCCCCGCACAAGCGGCGGAGCAUGCGGAUUAAUUCGAUGCAACGCGUAGAACCUUACCUGGGUUUGACAUGGAUCGGGAGUGCUCAGAGAUGGGUGUGCCUCUUUUGGGGUCGGUUCACAGGUGGUGCAUGGCUGUCGUCAGCUCGUGUCGUGAGAUGUUGGGUUAAGUCCCGCAACGAGCGCAACCCUUGUUCACUGUUGCCAGCACGUUAUGGUGGGGACUCAGUGGAGACCGCCGGGGUCAACUCGGAGGAAGGUGGGGAUGACGUCAAGUCAUCAUGCCCCUUAUGUCCAGGGCUUCACGCAUGCUACAAUGGCUGGUACAGAGAGUGGCGAGCCUGUGAGGGUGAGCGAAUCUCGGAAAGCCGGUCUCAGUUCGGAUUGGGGUCCGCAACUCGACCUCAUGAAGUCGGAGUCGCUAGUAAUCGCAGAUCAGCAACGCUGCGGUGAAUACGUUCCCGGGGCU